GAUGAACGCUAGCGGCAGGCUUAAUACAUGCAAGUUGAGGGGCAGCAUGAUAUACGCGAGUAUAUUGAUGGCGACCGGCGGACGGGUGAGUAAUAGGUAGGAGACCUACCUCAUACAGGGGGAUAGCAUAGAGAAAUCUGUGGUAAUACCCCAUGAGGUUAUAUGAAUAGAGGCAUAUAAUCAAAGCAUAAGCGAUUAUGCGGUAUGAGAGGGGCCUACUGACCAUUAGCUAGUUGGUGAGGUAAGGGCUCACCAAGGCGAAGAUGGUUAGGGGUUUUGAGAGAGAGACCCCCCACAUUGGAACUGAGAGACGGUCCAGACUCCUACGGGAGGCAGCAGUAGGGAAUAUUGGGCAAUGGGCGAAAGCCUGACCCAGCCAUGCCGCGUGAAGGAAGACGGCCUUAUGGGUUGUAAACUUCUUUACUACGCGAAUAGAGGUUAGUACGAGAUACUAAUAGGAAGGUAGUGUAGUAAAAAGCACCGGCUAACUCCGUACG
This 497-nucleotide ribosomal RNA is filed under the name uncultured bacterium. RNAcentral describes it as "bacterial SSU rRNA". It matches the Rfam family "Bacterial small subunit ribosomal RNA", at positions 28 to 509 of the family's 1533-position model. The record is from RNAcentral.